Molecule: unclassified non-coding RNA, 337 nt
Filed under: Hevea brasiliensis (rubber tree)
Lineage: Eukaryota; Viridiplantae; Streptophyta; Magnoliopsida; Malpighiales; Euphorbiaceae
Source: RNAcentral
AAAAAUUCCAGUUCUUACAUUGAUGAUAUAAUUGUAUAUAAGGGGAAUUUUCAUGCUGUUGAUCGAUAUGGUGAGACCAUGAAAUUUGAUUCCUCGUUUAGUGAGACGACGGUGGCUUCCAGAUUUUAUGGUGAGACCACGAAAAUUGAUUCCUCGUUUGAUGAGGAGGUGGCUUCCAGAUUAUCCGGUGGUAAGAAGAAGAAACGACUGGUGGAAUCAGGAGGGCAGUUGUUUUUGGUUGAUAAAAGUUCAGAUUUCGGCAAGGAUGCCAGCCAUGAAAUUAAAAUUUACCGAUUGGAUGAAAAACAAUAUGAGUGGAUUGAAGUGCAUACUUUGG